This 492-nucleotide ribosomal RNA is filed under the name uncultured bacterium. RNAcentral's name for it is "partial 16S ribosomal RNA". It matches the Rfam family "Bacterial small subunit ribosomal RNA", at positions 29 to 507 of the family's 1533-position model. The record is from RNAcentral.
AGUGAACGCUGGCGGUAGGCCUAACACAUGCAAGUCGAACGGCAGCACAGUAAGAGCUUGCUCUUACGGGUGGCGAGUGGCGGACGGGUGAGGAAUACAUCGGAAUCUACUUUUUCGUGGGGGAUAACGUAGGGAAACUUACGCUAAUACCGCAUACGACCUACGGGUGAAAGCAGGGGAUCUUCGGACCUUGCGCGAUUGAAUGAGCCGAUGUCGGAUUAGCUAGUUGGCGGGGUAAAGGCCCACCAAGGCGACGAUCCUUAGCUGGUCUGAGAGGAUGAUCAGCCACACUGGAACUGAGACACGGUCCAGACUCCUAAGGGAGGCAGCAGUGGGGAAUAUUGGACAAUGGGCGCAAGCCUGAUCCAGCCAUACCGCGUGGGUGAAGAAGGCCUUCGGGUUGUAGAGCCCUUUUGUUGGGAAAGAAAAGCAGCAGGUUAAUACCCCGCUGUUCUGACGGUACCCAAAGAAUAAGCACCGGCUAACUUCGUG